ACAACGGUAGAACCUGCGGGCCAGCAUAC
This 29-nucleotide small RNA is filed under the name Bombyx mori (domestic silkworm). RNAcentral describes it as "ovarian small RNA-2480". Lineage: Eukaryota; Metazoa; Arthropoda; Insecta; Lepidoptera; Bombycidae. The record is from RNAcentral.